This 301-nucleotide ribosomal RNA is filed under the name uncultured bacterium. RNAcentral's name for it is "partial 16S ribosomal RNA". It matches the Rfam family "Bacterial small subunit ribosomal RNA", at positions 509 to 807 of the family's 1533-position model. The record is from RNAcentral.
CAGCAGCCGCGGGAAUACGAAGGGUGCAAGCGUUACUCAGAAUUACUGGGCGUAAAGCGUGCGUAGGUGGUGGUUUAAGUCCGUUGUGAAAGCCCUGGGCUCAACCUGGGAAUUGCAGUGGAUACUGGAUCACUAGAGUGUGGUAGAGGAUAGUGGAAUUUCCGGUGUAGCAGUGAAAUGCGUAGAGAUCGGAAGGAACAUCUGUGGCGAGGGCGACUAUCUGGGCCAACACUGACACUGAGGCACGAAAGCGUGGGGAGCAAACAGGAUUAGAUACCCCGGUAGUCCCUGUCUCUUAUAC